Molecule: ribosomal RNA, 460 nt
Filed under: uncultured bacterium
Lineage: Bacteria
Description: partial 16S ribosomal RNA
Rfam family: Bacterial small subunit ribosomal RNA
Source: RNAcentral
CCUACGGGUGGCAGCAGUGAGGAAUAUUGGUCAAUGGACGAGAGUCUGAACCAGCCAAGUAGCGUGAAGGAUGACUGCCCUAUGGGUUGUAAACUUCUUUUAUAUGGGAAUAAAAUGUUCCACGUGUGGGAUUUUGUAUGUACCAUAUGAAUAAGGAUUGGCUAACUCCGUGCCAGCAGCCGCGGUAAUACGGAGGAUCCGAGCGUUAUCCGGAUUUAUUGGGUUUAAAGGGAGCGUAGGUGGAUUGUUAAGUCAGUUGUGAAAGUUUGCGGCUCAACCGUAAAAUUGCAGUUGAAACUGGCAGUCUUGAGUACAGUAGAGGUGGGCGGGAUUCGUGGUGUAGCGGUGAAAUGCUUAGAUAUCACGAAGAACUCCGAUUGCGAAGGCAGUUCACUGGACUGCAACUGACACUGAGGCUCGAAAGUGUGGGUAUCAAACAGGAUUAGAUACCCGUGUAGUC